UAUAUAUAUAUAUAUAUAUAUAUUUUAUAUAUGAUAAAAUAAAUAUUAAUAGUAAUUAUACGAUGAAACAUGUUACUGUUGAUAGGUUUAUGAAUAUAUUUUUUACGGGUUACUCAAAGAGACAUGGAACAUAUAUAUCUAAUAUAAACUAAUUGAACAAAUAUGUUAACACAAAUAUAUCAUAAAACAUUACAUUAACAUGAAUCGAUGCCAGAGAGUAAGGGUUAGUAUUAUAAUUAUUUAAAAAUAUAAUUAUAUAUAUAAAUUAUAAAAAUUAAGAAUUAAAUAUAAUAAAAUAUAUAUAUCAAAAUAAAAUAAUAAAUAUUUACAUUUCUAUUGCGAAUAAUGAAAUUAACUUUUAAAUUUAAAAUAAGCCAUAGACAAAACAUCAAAAAGUAUCUAAUAACUUGUGAAUAACAAAAGUAAAAUAACUAAAUAAAUAAACAAUUUUUUUUUCCAAACGUAAAUCAUUAAUUUGUAAUAGACAUAUACAUAUUAUUGAUGCUCAAAUCUAUUUCAUUUUUAGUAUGCAUCCUCUCAAAUAUUGAUCCAUUAACAAGAUUAAAUUUUAGUUGGACUAAAAUUGUAUUUAAAUUGGAAUAUCACUUUCAUAAUAUAUUCACUAUUCAUCUGAUUCAUGAAUAUAUAUUACAAUACUCUAAAUAUAAUAAUAAAUCAAACCGAAUUACAUAUUGGGUCAUCUACCAGCUCAACCGAUAACCAGAUCUCGGGUUUUAGCGGUUGUUACGGGUUUUAUAGAAUUUUUAAAUAACAGUUUUUUUUUUUGAAAACUAAAAUGGAUUACAUAUGAGCCACCGAAUUUGCCAAUUUUAAUGCGGAUCGGGUCGGAUUUCAAAACAUUGAAUAUAAUGUUCUAUUUGUAAUAUCUAAGUGUAGAUACAAUUAAAAUACAAAUUUAUAUCAAAUAAAUUUGGAAUGUUUCGAAAAUAAUUCCGCGUUUUGAAAGUGCGGAUCAAAAUCUAGUACUUAUAUUAAAAAUAUUGCGAAGCGUAGAAAUUAAGUGCGUGGUUACCUUUUCUGGUUCGUAAAGAGACCGGUGAAAACUGGCAGUUACGAGGACAUUUUUCUCAAAAAUUAAAACUUACGAGGACAUCGACAUAUCUUUAUGAUCAAAUACCAAUGUAAUAAAUGCAAAUAAAUGACACCGUUUUGUAAUAUAAAAAAAAAUGACACCGUUUUGUAUUUCGAUUAAAUUAGAGAUCUCAUAUGACUUUCACGGGAUUAAAUUUCCGAUUGCAUAUGACAUCACGACUUGCCCUUGGAAAAUAGAUAUAUUGACUAGUUUUUUUUCUUUUUUCUUGACUAGGUGAUUUAUAAAAUACAAUACUACGUGAUACCGUGAUUUCUCGACUCAUUGUUUCUUAACGCAUACAUUUAACCGAUACUACAAGAUGUGCAAAUGAUUUUUGUGUGUAAAUUUUAAAUGUGAUGCUCAUGCUCCAUCAGGGGCGGAUCCAAGAUGGUUUUUAGUAUGGGACACUUAACCAUUUCAAUAACUAAAAGCUUGAUAUAAGUAUACUUAAUUAAAUUUAACACUAGAUGUCAAUGAACAAAAAAAUUAGGGUGAGGCACAUGCCACACCCUCUAAUACAGUGGGACCGCCCCUGUGCUCCAUCUUUAAGAUGGUAAAUUUGUAGAUUCGAUAAUUACAACAUAGAGUAACCUUUCUGUUUCAAAAUACGAGAUAAAAAUUUCUGCUUUGACAUUUUCGAAUAUAGAAUAAAGACAAAACCUCUAAAUUAAAGGGGACUAAAUCACCACGGAAGUUCUUUACAAGGAAAUAUAUAUAGCAACGCAUCAAAUAUACAUUUGAUAACACUUUUGCACAAGUAUUUCAAAGAGUUUAAGAUGGGUUCUGAUGUACUAAUAGUAUAAUAUCAUAAUAAUAAUAAAAAUAAACAUGGGCAAACCACGAAGGGAUCGAUAAAGAAAGAACAUUAAUGUGAAAAAAGGACAGGAAGGGGUCGAAAACUAAAAGCAAGUUGGUUCGAGCGUCACCACCUUCACGUGGAAGGGACGUGGAGCUCGAAGUUCUACACUCGAUUCCGAAUCAUAAGACAGCGAAGCACACGUGUGUCCUCCUCGUUUUGCCCCAUAACGCUUCAUCUCCUCAACUGUCAGAUAAUAAAUCGCCCUAAAUUCGAUGACUUCCCAUAUACUCGUAGCACUUCCAGCUACAAGUCGCAAACACACACUUUGACUUAAGACUUAAGACACAUAUUAAUUGUACGAUAUUAUGAACGAUGUACCAUACGUAUUUCCAAAAGAAAUGCUGAACUUGGUGUUAUAACAGCAAGCACUAACGUCAUGCAAAAAUCAAUGAUAAUUGAUUCAUCACCGAUAGACAAAAUGACAAUGUCUAUAGUCCUAAAAUAUAAAUUGUCAAAUAUAUAUGUAACGAAGAUCUUAUAUAAGAAUGUCAAUUAUAUGGUCACUUUUAUCCACAAAACUUUUAUUUUUACGUUCACUUUAUAGAUAGCAUGUAAUAAAAAUAAAAAUACUCACCGAGACAACCAGUCAUAGCCGUCUGAUGAAAGUUGGAGGAACCAACAUCGUGCACUGCUGACAAAAUCCCUCGCACAUGCGGCUACGUGCAUUUCCAAAAAUAAUCAAAGUGGCUCGGAAAUGGGUUCGGUUCGGGGUGUGGUCCCACGUGUCUUUACCAUGUGACCGUCUGAGCUGGCACAUGCGAUUAACCGCUAAAUCAAAACGGCAAUAAUCAUUUGUUUCAUUAGAUCGAUGAUCACUAGUUAUUAAUCUAUUGCUUAAAAGCUGUGCCACACGUGCAACCUCGUCAUGGAUACUCAGAUGAUCUCUAUGCUUUAUUUUAUUCACGCCUUUAUAUGCUUGAUUUACAUAUAUACCCUUGGCUUGGAAUCAUAUAGUAUCAUUAUUGUUUUUUUUCUUCUUUCAGAAGUGAGUUAUUUGCAAAUGUAAUAAGCAUGUUUAUAGCUUGGUUGGUGGGAUAUAUAUAUAAUUUUAAAACUAAACGUGUCUUUUAUCAUUACUAGUAUAAUUUAUACUAUAUUAAAAUAAAAUGGAAAUACAUUUAAUAUCAUAAUGACUAUUGACUGAUUUUAAAUAGUUAUAAUUAUCAAGGAAAUAAAUAAAUUAUAACAUUUUUCUUGAUUAGUGUGUAGAAUACUAAAAUCACACUUGUUGUGAAAAUAGAGAGAUAAUAAGGUUGUGCGACCAAAUCAAUAAUGAGUCGAGAUUUUGCAAUCAAAUAUCGGACAUACUGAUCUCUACAUAUCACACUAUUAAGGAAGCUAAAUCACACUAUAAAUUUAUGUUGCCAAGGUGUCUGUUGCUUAAAAUGAUGAAAGUUGUUCUCCCACAAACUUAUAUUCUAUCUGCCCAUCAACCAUAUACAAUCAUUCUUUUCUCGAACUUGUCCUCUUUAAUCUUUAUAUCAUUGACCGCUGAAAACAUUCUUGAGCUUGAACUUGCACCGGCCCAAUAUCUUCUCUAACCCUUUGUCUUGCGUCUGGUCCAACAGAGACCCAUUCAAAUGUGUUAACUAAAGUUAAGUCUAAAAACAAUCCUCUUUGCAUUUUUUCAAUUUCGUAUGCUUACUGUUAAACACACACACACAAAAACACAUUUGAUCGUUUGAUCUAAACAUAUGAGGAAAACGCCGAUAAAUAAAAAAAUACUAAAAAACGUGGAUCUUGAUGAGACUCUAAUUUUGAUGGGCCCAAAGCCAGUAAAUAAAAUACUCAGGUCAGAAAUAAAGAAAAAAAGCUGAAACGGUAGUGUAUGGUACUUUAUGUACAUGUUUUGACAAGUACGGAUUAGAUUUAGAAAAACAUGCAACCGAAGAUCAGGAGAGUGAGUUUCAACAAAAGAAGUAAUGUCAACGGUUCUUCAGCUUCCGAUACCGACCUUUCUUGGCCGGAAAAGCUCUCUACUUCCCGAUUGAUUCGUCAGAUUCUCUUCUUUUUCUUCUUCUUGUAUCAUACACCUAACAUUAAAUGCUUCUUUGUAUUGACUAUAUAAAAUGCUUCUAAUUUGAGUUUGGAGCAAACAUUAUAUGUGUGAGCUUUGAUGAUUAUUUUCAAUUCUUAGGCUUGUUUGAAUCAUGGAUUCUUCUAUCUCACGAAUCAUGGCGUUCCCGAGGAGUUGAUGAAAAGAGUGUUCAAGGAGAGCAAGAACUUGUUCUCUUUUCCUCUUGAUGAGAAGAUGGUGAUGGUUCGACGUGGUUUUAGAGGUUACUCACCUUUGUACGACGAGAAAGGUUCUUAUUAUUAUAGCUCAUGACAAUUGUUCGAUCACUCCAAUGAACACGUGAGUAAUUCCAGCUUCUCGUAACAGGUGAUUCUAAGGAGAUAUUCACUUUUGGAUCUUCAGAGGGAGUUUUAGGUCAACAUUACCCUAAUAAAUGGCUUUCUGAAGGUAAAAAAAAGUUUGUUGUAUAAUCAUAAUUUCUUAUUUUGUUUAUGUUUAUUUGAUCUAUUUUAUGGAUUUUAUUAUUAGACCUUUUGCCGCUAUGGAGGCCAACCAUGGAACGCUACUAUAAAAGUGUUGUAUAAGUACCAGGAAAUGCUUAUUGACAAUAUUUUUAAACCUUCUACAACUAGCUAUUCAAUUUUGUUGUUUGGUUCUCGUAUAAUAUUGAAUUAUUUUUAUUUCUAUUUUAUUAAGUUUUUUAAUUGCUCAUUAGGGAUGUUGGCAAGAAAUUGCUUGGCCUAGUGGCCUUAGCGUUGGAUUUGGAAGAGAACUUCUUUGAAAGAUUGGGAGCCUUCAAUGAUCAAGCAGCAGUUGUUCGCCUCUUACUUUAUUCAGGAGAGUUGAAUUCAUCUGAAGAAGAAGAAGAAGAAGAAACAUGUGGGGCCUCUGCUCAUUCAGAUUUUAGAAUGCUAACUCUUCUUGCAACAGAUAUGGAGUUCCAGGGCUUCAAGUUUGUAGGGAUAAAGAUAAAGAACCAAAUGUUUGAGAAGAUGUCCCUGGAAUUAAAGUGCUUUUAUUGUCAACAUCAGAGACCUCAUGGAGAGAUGGACUAAUGGGCUUUUCCGAUCAACAAUGCAUAGAGUGUGUCAGUUGGAGAAGAACGUUACUCGGUGGCUGUAUUUCUAGAUCCAGACCCAAACUGUGUUGUGGAGUGCUUGGAGAGUUGCUUUAGUGAAACAUCCCCUCCUAGGUAUUAUCUGAAUUUUGAUUGUUAAGGGUGAAUUUCAACUAAUAAAAUGUUUUGGUCUUUAAUCGGAAAACCAAAAAGGUUGAUUUGUGAAUAUAUUUCCCCUCAGGUUUCCACUGGUCCGAACCAGUGAUUAUUUCCACGACCGAUUCAGCCAAUCCCUCAUCUCGAGACUUUGCCUUAUUAAUAAAAAAACUUGUGUGUUGUGUCAUCAAAAACUCGGAAGUUUCUGCUGCCUCUACGUUGUUGAUAAACCUUAAUAUUGUUAUAUAUGGUCCUUGUGACUAGAUGGGCCAAAACGAUAAGACUAAGAGCAUGCUGAAUUUCGAAAAACAGUUCUCUAUGCUACUUAUAAAACUGUUUGAUGUUGUUGUGUCUUUAAUAAGGCAUGUCUUGAACAAGGACUCUUCUAUGUAGAGUCAUGACGUCCCAGAAGAAUUGAUAUAAGGGGGUGUUUUCAUGGAUAGCAAAGACUUCUUUAACCUCCCACAAGAGGAAAAUAUAGCAUACAAUCCUGCAAAGUAGAUAUUACUACAAACCAUGGAAUCUUACUACAAGAAUGUCCUGUAAGCUUGCCGGUUCCUUUUUUAUUUUUCUGCAAAGUAAUUAUUGAACAAAAAAUUGGAUCAUCAUAGAUGCAGGUCUUCUCUAAACAUUUCAAAUUGAAAAUAGGUUUCAAGUUUGUAUUAACAGUUAGAUUUGAACUUUGAUGGUAGGGAUACAUAUAAGCUAUUCUAGGCGAUGAGAUCGGUAGUACAAAUAUGUGCAACCUUAUGUGCAUGUGUGUGUUCUUGAAAUAUUCAACUUAUAAAAGAGAUAUGUAAUUUCAUAUAUAUCUCCUCCUUUGAUCUUCCAUUUUAGUUUCCUAGAUUGACUUGCUUGUUGGUGUUUGAUAUUUUGCUUUGCUGCUUUAAGGUCUGUGUGUAGGUGGUGCAGUCGUAUUAAUGGUAACUCAGCUCAAAUCUAAAUUUCUAGAGACCUGACUUCUUCGAUUGAUGAACUUAUACAAAAUCAAUGCAAGGCUCAAAUUGAUGACAUAAUCGAAUCAAUGCAAGACUUUAGAGAAAAAAAAACUCUAGUUUAUUAUCUUUCAAAGACUGGUUAUCAAAAGCAACACUACAAUGACUUAUAUAGGUUAUAAGAGUCAUCUAAAUCUCCAAACUCACCUAAAAAUAGGAAAACUAAUAAAAUGAAAACAUAACAAGAAAAGGAAAUCUGUUAAAUGAAAGCCGACAAAGAAAAAUGGUCGCUUGGCGCUGAAAGUAUCAUGAUGCUGCAUCAGGUCUCUUGGGGUUAGAAAUAUUCGACUUCGAAUCGGGCACUGGAUCAAAGAUACCGAACAUUAAACACGUCUGAGGUCCUGAUGUUAGCCCGAAGUUGCAGGCGAUAAGCAUUGUCAUUAAUACGCUCGAGAACCUCGAGAGGACCAAUCUUCUUCGCUUUGAGUUUGUUAUACGCAUGAGCUGG
Molecule: RNA transcript, 6625 nt
Organism: Brassica napus (rape)
Lineage: Eukaryota; Viridiplantae; Streptophyta; Magnoliopsida; Brassicales; Brassicaceae
Exons: 6
Source: RefSeq, a predicted model, not a curated record